Molecule: ribosomal RNA, 468 nt
Filed under: uncultured bacterium
Lineage: Bacteria
Description: partial 16S ribosomal RNA
Rfam family: Bacterial small subunit ribosomal RNA
Source: RNAcentral
GACGAACGCUGGCGGCGUGCUUAACACAUGCAAGUCGAACGGAAAGGCCCUGCUUUUGUGGGGUGCUCGAGUGGCGAACGGGUGAGUAACACGUGAGUAACCUGCCCUUGACUUUGGGAUAACUUCAGGAAACUGGGGCUAAUACCGGAUCGGAGCUCCUGCUGCAUGGUGGGGGUUGGAAAGUUUCGGCGGUUGGGGAUGGACUCGCGGCUUAUCAGCUUGUUGGUGGGGUAGUGGCUUACCAAGGCUUUGACGGGUAGCCGGCCUGAGAGGGUGACCGGCCACAUUGGGACUGAGAUACGGCCCAGACUCCUACGGGAGGCAGCAGUGGGGAAUAUUGCACAAUGGGCGGAAGCCUGAUGCAGCAACGCCGCGUGCGGGAUGACGGCCUUCGGGUUGUAAACCGCUUUCGCCUGUGACGAAGCGAGAGUGACGGUAAUGGGUAAAGAAGCACCGGCUAACUACGUG